UACUAGAGUAGCACUCGCAUAUCAAUAAGCGGAGGAAAAGAAACUAACAAGGAUUCCCCUAGUAACGGACGAGUGAAGCGGGAAGAGCUCAAAUUUGAAAUCUUAAAGGGUUUCCCUUUACGAAUUGUAGUUUAAAGAAGUGUUUUCUGUUGAGGUUUUGGUAAAAGUUCUUUGGAAUAGGACAUCAUAGAGGGUGAGAAUCCCGUAUUUGACCUUUACUUUCAACUUUGUGAUACACUUUCAAAGAGUCGGAUUGUUUGGGAAUGCAGUCCAAAAUGGGUGGUAAAUUUCAUCUAAAGCUAAAUAUUGGCGAGAGACCGAUAGCGAACAAGUACCGUGAGGGAAAGAUGAAAAGAACUUUGAAAAGAGAGUUAAACAGUACGUGAAAUUGUCAAAAGGGAAGCGUUUGACACCAGUGUUGUUUUUCUGAAAAUCAAUUAAAGAACUGUUUAUGCUAAGCUGUUUAGACUUUAUCAGCUAUCUGUUUAGUUUUGAGCUUUUCUUUAAUGCACUUUUCAGUUAACAAGUCAACAUCAAUUUCUUUUGCUGUAAAAAAGCUUGAGGAAGGUGGCUUGAGAUUCGUCUUAAGUGUUUAUAGCCUCUUGCCUAUGCAGUCGGAGAGAUUGAGGUCUGCAGCGUAGAUCCUUCGGGGCUAAAUGCAUUUGUGCUAAGUUAUAGCAUUUUAUAGACAACUUGUUGACCAUGAUUUGUCUUGUAGCUUACUCGCUUAUGUUAUUUUACCUACGCUUAGGAUGUUGAUCUACAGAGCGAGAG
Molecule: ribosomal RNA, 774 nt
Filed under: uncultured Neocallimastigales
Lineage: Eukaryota; Fungi; Neocallimastigomycota; Neocallimastigomycetes; Neocallimastigales
Description: partial large subunit ribosomal RNA
Rfam family: Eukaryotic large subunit ribosomal RNA
Source: RNAcentral